AUCCAGCUGAUGGGUCUCAAAUAGGACGAAACGUGCGUCCUGAAU
Molecule: non-coding RNA, 45 nt
Organism: Schistosoma haematobium
Lineage: Eukaryota; Metazoa; Platyhelminthes; Trematoda; Strigeidida; Schistosomatidae
Source: Rfam